Molecule: ribosomal RNA, 539 nt
Filed under: Rhodopseudomonas sp. JA629
Lineage: Bacteria; Pseudomonadati; Pseudomonadota; Alphaproteobacteria; Hyphomicrobiales; Nitrobacteraceae
Description: bacterial SSU rRNA
Rfam family: Bacterial small subunit ribosomal RNA
Source: RNAcentral
AGUAACGCGUGGGAACGUACCUUUUGGUUCGGAACAACACAGGGAAACUUGUGCUAAUACCGGAUAAGCCCUUACGGGGAAAGAUUUAUCGCCGAAAGAUCGGCCCGCGUCUGAUUAGCUAGUUGGUGAGGUAAUGGCUCACCAAGGCGACGAUCAGUAGCUGGUCUGAGAGGAUGAUCAGCCACAUUGGGACUGAGACACGGCCCAAACUCCUACGGGAGGCAGCAGUGGGGAAUAUUGGACAAUGGGGGCAACCCUGAUCCAGCCAUGCCGCGUGAGUGAUGAAGGCCCUAGGGUUGUAAAGCUCUUUUGUGCGGGAAGAUAAUGACGGUACCGCAAGAAUAAGCCCCGGCUAACUUCGUGCCAGCAGCCGCGGUAAUACGAAGGGGGCUAGCGUUGCUCGGAAUCACUGGGCGUAAAGGGUGCGUAGGCGGGUUUCUAAGUCAGAGGUGAAAGCCUGGAGCUCAACUCCAGAACUGCCUUUGAUACUGGAAGUCUUGAGUAUGGCAGAGGUGAGUGGAACUGCGAGUGUAGAGGUG